RNAcentral lists this ribosomal RNA (466 nucleotides) under uncultured bacterium. RNAcentral describes it as "partial 16S ribosomal RNA". It matches the Rfam family "Bacterial small subunit ribosomal RNA", at positions 339 to 795 of the family's 1533-position model. The record is from RNAcentral.
CUACGGGUGGCAGCAGUGGGGAAUAUUGGACAAUGGGGGAAACCCUGAUCCAGCAAUGCCGCGUGUGUGAAGAAGGCCUGCGGGUUGUAAAGCACUUUCGGUUGGGAGGACUGCUUCUAGCACUAAUAUUGUUGGAAGUUGACGUUACCUUCAGAAGAAGCACCGGCUAACUCCGUGCCAGCAGCCGCGGUAAUACGGAGGGUGCGAAGCGUUAAUCGGAAUUACUGGGCGUAAAGCACGCGUAGGCGGCUAGAUCAGUCGGGUGUGAAAGCCCCGGGCUUAACCUGGGAACUGCAUCCGAUACUGUCUAGCUUGAGUACAGGAGAGGAGAGUGGAAUUCCACAUGUAGCGGUGAAAUGCGUAGAUAUGUGGAGGAACACCAAUGGCGAAGGCAGCUCUCUGGCCUGAUACUGACGCUGAGGUGCGAAAGCGUGGGGAGCAAACAGGAUUAGAUACCCGCGUAGUC